UACGGAGGGUGCAAGCGUUGUUCGGAAUUAUUGGGCGUAAAGCGCGUGUAGGCGGUUGGUUAAGUCUGAUGUGAAAGCCCUGGGCUCAACCCGGGAAGUGCAUUGGAAACUGGCUAACUUGAGUACGGGAGAGGGUAGUGGAAUUUCGAGUGUAGGGGUGAAAUCCGUAGAUAUUCGAAGGAACACCGGUGGCGAAGGCGGCUACCUGGACCGAUACUGACGCUGAGACGCGAAAGCGUGGGGAGCAAAC
This 250-nucleotide ribosomal RNA is filed under the name uncultured bacterium. RNAcentral's name for it is "partial 16S ribosomal RNA". It matches the Rfam family "Bacterial small subunit ribosomal RNA", at positions 524 to 773 of the family's 1533-position model. The record is from RNAcentral. RNAcentral also lists the same sequence under 1 other name.